Molecule: ribosomal RNA, 458 nt
Filed under: uncultured bacterium
Lineage: Bacteria
Description: bacterial SSU rRNA
Rfam family: Bacterial small subunit ribosomal RNA
Source: RNAcentral
CCUACGGGUGGCAGCAGUAGGGAAUAUUGGUCAAUGGACGCAAGUCUGAACCAGCCAUGCCGCGUGCAGGAAGAAGGUCCUCUGGAUUGUAAACUGCUUUUGUCCGGGAAUAAAUCUGCCCUACUGGGCAGUUGAAGGUACCGGGAGAAUAAGCACCGGCUAACUCCGUGCCAGCAGCCGCGGUAAUACGGAGGGUGCAAGCGUUGUCCGGAUUUAUUGGGUUUAAAGGGUGCGUAGGCGGCCUUGUAAGUCAGUGGUGAAAGACGGUAGCUCAACUAUCGAAGUGCCAUUGAUACUGCAGGGCUUGAGUACAGAUGAGGUGGUUGGAAUGAGUAGUGUAGCGGUGAAAUGCAUAGAUAUUACUCAGAACACCGAUUGCGAAGGCAGAUCACUAAGCUGUAACUGACGCUGAUGCACGAAAGCGUGGGGAUCAAACAGGAUUAGAUACCCCAGUAGUC